GGGGUUGGACUGUGGCACAGUGGUAGAGCAUCUGCUUAGGAUGUUGAAGGUCCCAGGUUCGAUUCUUAGCAUCUUCA
Molecule: transfer RNA, 77 nt
Filed under: Sphaerodactylus townsendi
Lineage: Eukaryota; Metazoa; Chordata; Lepidosauria; Squamata; Sphaerodactylidae
Description: tRNA-Pro
Source: RNAcentral